UCAAAUUGAUUGAAAGGGGAGAUUCUGUUCCGUGAAACAGCAUUGUACGUGGCCCAUCCAUUCACAAAACACCCUGGAGGAGCCAUGGCUACUGAGGAGGAGCGGCGAGAUAAAUUCUUUUCUCUAGCAUCCUGUGUCUGAGGAUCACAACGAGCUUUGCACAUAAUUAUGGCUGCGAGUCUGUCACAGAGUCUGUGACUUUCCGGGACCUCCAUGACUUCUGCAGUGGCAGGAUAGGAGGAGUCCUCCUUCAAGAAACCACCUGCUGAGGCAAAGCUUCAUUACCCAACCAAACCUCCAUCACUCAUACCCGUAGGGUGACCCCUCACCAGGCAUAUCCUGCACAAUUCCUAUGACUAACCAAAACAAGACUCAGUACGGGGAAUUAUGGGUCAACAUUAUAAUUUAUGUAAGUGAAGUUGGCCCCAGUUGGCUUUUCCCCUGCUUCCCAGGAGAGGGAGAGAAGAGCUCCAUCUCUACGUCAUCUCGCCCUAGGGCUUGCGCUGUCUUUGUUACCCCAAGAUAUCAUGCUGACAGAUGUUUAUCAUUAUUUUAAAUGGUAAAAUGUUUUGUAGCAGCAUCACAAUUACAAUACAUCCAUCAUUUAGGUGGCGCUUCCUAUCUUCAAAGCAUCGUGUGAAUGUUCAUAGCUGAGUUUUGCCUCAUCAAGCAGUGCUGGGAGGUUAACCACCCCAGCAGAGGCAGCUGAAGGCAUUAGGCCUUUGCCCUCAGGAAGGCAUCAUUGCCUUACACUGAAGAGUCAAAGGGAAGUGGCUUUUACUACAAAUGUGUAGCGGGUGAGCCAUCUUGGUUCGGAGGGAGGUAAGACCAUGGUGCCACCCACAGGUGGGGAACCAAAGGCAGAUCCUGGAGUCUUGAACAGAAUCGUACUUCUGAGGCACUAUCAAUGCCAAAACAAUAGCCACUGGAGGUGAAUGGAAAAUAGAAAUCCACUCUGGGAUGAAAUUUUAAGCGGUGUGAAAUUUUACAUGGAAGGGAUGGUCUCUAAAAAUUCCAUUUUGAGGGCACUUAAAAGAAUUUUUCAGCUUGUCAG
This is a long non-coding RNA of Chelonia mydas (Green sea turtle), 1054 nucleotides long. RefSeq lists it as uncharacterized. The transcript has 3 exons. The record is from RefSeq and is a predicted model, not a curated record. Lineage: Eukaryota; Metazoa; Chordata; Testudines; Cheloniidae.